Molecule: ribosomal RNA, 44 nt
Filed under: Castilleja alpicola
Lineage: Eukaryota; Viridiplantae; Streptophyta; Magnoliopsida; Lamiales; Orobanchaceae
Also listed under: 3 other names
Description: partial 26S ribosomal RNA
Source: RNAcentral
CGACACGCGACCCCAGGUCAGGCGGGAUUACCCGCUGAGUUUAA